GCGUAACGCGUGGGRBCGCCUUAGGUACGGAUAACAGUUAGAAAUGACUGCUAAUACCGUAUGAUGACGUAAGUCCAAAGAUUUAUCGCCUGAGGAUGAGCCCGCGUAGGAUUAGCUUGUUGGUGAGGUAAAAGCUCACCAAGGCGACGAUCUUUAGCUGGUCUGAGAGGAUGAUCAGCCACACUGGGACUGAGACACGGCCCAGACUCCUACGGGAGGCAGCAGUGGGGAAUAUUGGACAAUGGGCGAAACCCGAAUCCAGCAAUGCCGCGUGAGUGAUGAAGGCCUUAGGGUUGU
RNAcentral lists this ribosomal RNA (297 nucleotides) under uncultured Sphingomonas sp. RNAcentral's name for it is "partial 16S ribosomal RNA". It matches the Rfam family "Bacterial small subunit ribosomal RNA", at positions 108 to 426 of the family's 1533-position model. Lineage: Bacteria; Pseudomonadati; Pseudomonadota; Alphaproteobacteria; Sphingomonadales; Sphingomonadaceae. The record is from RNAcentral.